AUUAUCUUGGCAGAAAAGUGCAUUAGCUUUAGAAUCUAAAUAUGUUUAAGUAACAGAUAAUA
This 62-nucleotide transfer RNA is filed under the name Parajapyx emeryanus. RNAcentral's name for it is "tRNA-Leu". The record is from RNAcentral. Lineage: Eukaryota; Metazoa; Arthropoda; Diplura; Dicellurata; Parajapygidae.